UUUUGGAAAGCAUUACUAAAUUUAUUUUCCAAGUUUAAAUUUGAAAUGCAUGACUGACUAUUUAAGUACGAUGAUCCAGCAGUUCGAAAUAAUAGCGGGCAUGUGUCCGGCCAUUACUGUGAAAUCACCGCCCAGUUUUGUGCACCCGUAUUUAUAAACAAUGCGAACUUGAAAUUUCGACGCAGACUUCAAGGCACCUAACGGCAAACGGUCCCAGCACAGUUGCCAUCAUAGUACAUAGUUGCUGCUAUUAAUAUGCAAUAAUUGCGCAAGGUGUCAUUUACGUGCCAAACUUGCCGGGUAUUUUCUACCGAGAUUUUGCCUACGUAAGGGGCACAUGUCUUAUAUAAAACUUUAUUUUUACAUAGCCCAACUAUUUCUUUUAAUUCAAUACAAUUUAGUGUAAUAGUUUGUUGUAUUACCAUUUUAUGGGAUGCAUUUUUAUGCACAUGCGCGUGCCUAUAGGUACCUGUUCCUGGUAUUGAAUUUCCCAACAGCUGGAAAUAAUCGAACGCAGUCGCCAGCUGAUCUCUUGAAAUAGCGGUCCUGCUGCUCUGCUCCACUCCGCGCACUUCUUCCUAUCAUCAAAAAGCAGUGGGAUAUUCGCUUACUGGCAAGAUAUUAAGUUUUUCUUGUCGAAAAGUUGGUGUUAGUUGUGAUGACUGUGAACCCCACAAAUUUAGUGUUAAAUAUUGUUUUAUAUUAUGAAGUAUUAGAUAAGAAAAUAAAACUAUUUCCGGGCAUACAAUCAUCUAUAUAAUGGACGGGAACAUAAUAUAGAUGAUUCGUUUAGAUGACCAUUAUGACAACGAAGCUUGUUGGCCAGGAUUCUAAGCAUUAGAGCACAUUCGAUUUAGAACACGUAUACGACGACGACGACUACUAUGAAGGAAGUGGGAGCCAUCUACCGACCGCUGUUGCAUAACUGCAUCGUCCGAGAUGACCCAAAAAAAACCAGGACGUCGCACCAUUAUGAAGCCACCAGUCGAAGACGAAGGGAUUAAAUCCAAAUAAGACGAUAAAGUGGUUUCAAACGAAUCAUGAUACAAGAAGUUAAGUUUUACCAAGUGCCAAAGCGUUCAAUAUUAAACGGAAAUAUAGCUCAAUCUUGAGUGAAUCUGUGUACUUUGUGCGUGUGUGGUGUGCUUUGAAUGAAAUAUGGGAGGUGGUGGUCGUCUCCUUUCCGUAAUUCCGGAGUAGGCAUUUUUCGCCGGAACAUCGAAGUCCUGGGAUGCGUACCAGAUGCGCGUUUACAACGCUCUUUACGGAAUCCUGUAAAUGCACUAUCUGGUACGACACUCCAGGAUCUGUUUCGUCUUCGCACGCAGCUCUGUUAUUCUUUUCUUUUUCCGCCUGCAUCAACUUCAUAUACACCCACCACACCAAUCGCUUUACACUUCAUCUUACUUUUCUUCUUUUUAGUUAUUGUUAAUAAUAUUCUAUUGAUGUUGUUUACAAAGUUGCAUGACUAGAAUAAAGAUAAAAUCAUUUUAAGUAUUGUAUGGUCAUUUAAAUAUCAAUCAAAAAUAUUAUAAAAAUGUAUUAUAAAGCGGCUAUUGUAAAAUGGUAUUAAUAAUAAAUGUUUGUUA
Onthophagus taurus is the source of this 1589-nucleotide non-coding RNA. Lineage: Eukaryota; Metazoa; Arthropoda; Insecta; Coleoptera; Scarabaeidae. The record is from RefSeq and is a predicted model, not a curated record.